This 671-nucleotide ribosomal RNA is filed under the name Deltaproteobacteria bacterium. RNAcentral's name for it is "bacterial SSU rRNA". It matches the Rfam family "Bacterial small subunit ribosomal RNA", at positions 1 to 754 of the family's 1533-position model. Lineage: Bacteria; Pseudomonadati; Myxococcota; Myxococcia. The record is from RNAcentral.
UAAUCGGAGAGUUUGAUCCUGGCUCAGAAUGAACGCUGGCGGCGUGCCUAACACAUGCAAGUCGAACGAGAAACUUCCUGCUUGCAGGAAGGAGUAAAGUGGCGCACGGGUGAGUAACGCGUGAGUAACCUGCCCCUGAAUCUGGGAUAACUUCGCGAAAGCGUGGCUAAUACCGGAUACCGUCCCGGGGACUCCGGUCUUCGGGAUGAAAGGUGACCUCUCCAUGGAAGUUGCCGUUCAGGGAGGUCCUACGGGAGGCAGCAGUGAGGAAUUUUGCGCAAUGGGGGAAACCCUGACGCAGCAACGCCGCGUGAGUGAAGAAGGCCUUCGGGUCGUAAAGCUCUGUCAAGUGGGAAAAAAGCCUUACGGUGAAUAGCCGUAAGGUCUGAUGGUACCACUAGAGGAAGCACCGGCUAACUCCGUGCCAGCAGCCGCGGUAAUACGGAGGGUGCGAGCGUUGUUCGGAAUUACUGGGCGUAAAGAGCGUGUAGGCGGCUUGGCAAGUCAGAUGUGAAAGCCCGGGGCUCAACCCCGGAAGUGCAUUUGAAACUGCCGAGCUUGAGUAUGGGAGAGGAGAGUGGAAUUCCCAGUGUAGAGGUGAAAUUCGUAGAUAUUGGGAGGAACACCCGUGGCGAAGGCGACUCUCUGGACCAAUACUGACGCUGAGACGC